RNAcentral lists this ribosomal RNA (464 nucleotides) under uncultured bacterium. Its description in RNAcentral is "partial 16S ribosomal RNA". It matches the Rfam family "Bacterial small subunit ribosomal RNA", at positions 28 to 507 of the family's 1533-position model. The record is from RNAcentral.
GACGAACGCUGGCGGCGUGCUUAAUACAUGCAAGUCGAACGGACAGGCGCCUUUCGGGGUCCUCGAGUGGUGAACGGGUGCGUAACACGUACGUAACCUUACCUUGACUUUGGGAUAGCUUUAAGUACCUGGGGCUAGUACCGAAUAGGGAUCCUAUCUGCAUGGUGGUGGUUGGAAAGUUACGGCGGUUUUUGAUGGACGCGCGGGUUAUCUGCUUGCUGGUGGGGUAGGGGCUUACGAAGGCUUUGACGGGUAGCCGGCCUGAGAGGGCGACCGGCCACAUGAGGACUGCGAGACGGCGCAGACGCCUACGGGAGGCAGCAGUGGGGAAUAUGGCACAAUGGGCGGAAGCCAGAUGCAGCAGCGUCGCGUGCGUGAUGACGGCCUUCGGGUUGUAAACCGCUGUCAGCGGGAGCGAAGCUGUUUUGACGGUACCUGCAGAAGAAGCACCGGCUAACUACGUG